UGCAAGUCGAACGAGCUUCCGUUGAAUGACGUGCUUGCACUGAUUUCAACAAUGAAGCGAGUGGCGAACUGGUGAGUAACACGUGGGAAAUCUGCCCAGAAGCAGGGGAUAACACUUGGAAACAGGUGCUAAUACCGUAUAACAACAAAAUCCGCAUGGAUUUUGUUUGAAAGGUGGCUUCGGCUAUCACUUCUGGAUGAUCCCGCGGCGUAUUAGUUAGUUGGUGAGGUAAAGGCCCACCAAGACGAUGAUACGUAGCCGACCUGAGAGGGUAAUCGGCCACAUUGGGACUGAGACACGGCCCAAACUCCUACGGGAGGCAGCAGUAGGGAAUCUUCCACAAUGGACGAAAGUCUGAUGGAGCAAUGCCGCGUGAGUGAAGAAGGGUUUCGGCUCGUAAAACUCUGUUGUUAAAGAAGAACACCUUUGAGAGUAACUGUUCAAGGGUUGACGGUAUUUAACCAGAAAGCCACGGCUAACUACGUGCCAGCAGCCGCGGUAAUACGUAGGUGGCAAGCGUUGUCCGGAUUUAUUGGGCGUAAAGCGAGCGCAGGCGGUUUUUUAAGUCUGAUGUGAAAGCCUUCGGCUUAACCGGAGAAGUGCAUCGGAAACUGGGAGACUUGAGUGCAGAAGAGGACAGUGGA
This 644-nucleotide ribosomal RNA is filed under the name Levilactobacillus brevis. RNAcentral describes it as "bacterial SSU rRNA". It matches the Rfam family "Bacterial small subunit ribosomal RNA", at positions 56 to 665 of the family's 1533-position model. The record is from RNAcentral. Lineage: Bacteria; Bacillati; Bacillota; Bacilli; Lactobacillales; Lactobacillaceae.